Molecule: long non-coding RNA, 520 nt
Filed under: Gossypium raimondii (Peruvian cotton)
Lineage: Eukaryota; Viridiplantae; Streptophyta; Magnoliopsida; Malvales; Malvaceae
Description: long non-coding RNA (GRAI_LNC010766)
Source: RNAcentral
GCUUUUAUAGCUAAUUACAUAAUAUUUGAUUUUUUCUUCUUCUUUUUUUUGCUUUUUCUGUCAUUUCCAUAUUUUGUUCUCUGUUCCCUUUUUUUUUUCUUCUUUGUAAGUAUCCAUGGCAAGGUCAACGAUGAUAGGGAGUCGCACCCUUGCCAUUUCAGUGAAAAGAUGGCAGGAGGCAGUCCUCGGGUGAUUUAUCCGCUGACAUGGCCAGGAGUAGCGGGGCUUAAGGGAUAGAGGUGGCUAGGGUUUCUAUUUAGUUUUUUAGGUUUUGGGCUUUGGGCUUUUAGGGUUUUUAGGUUAGCAGAUUUGGGUUAGGGUGAAUUUGGCUUGUAAUUUGGACCAAUAUUUUUUUGUCAAUAGACUUAAUAUUAAUGGACCUUUUUAUUUUAUUUAUUUAUUUUUGGUUUUAUUUUGGGCCGAAUGAAUUUAGGCCACUACAACCUAGAUCCGUUAAUUGAUUUACUUACUUGUGACAUUCAUUUUGUGAUGUACCUAAAUCUUGAGUAUGUGAAUGACC